RNAcentral lists this small RNA (110 nucleotides) under Vibrio jasicida. Its description in RNAcentral is "Qrr". It matches the Rfam family "Qrr RNA". From Rfam's summary of the family: This family represents a set of small RNAs (the Qrr RNAs) that are thought to be involved in the regulation of quorum sensing in Vibrio species. It is believed that these RNAs, guided by a protein, Hfq, can mediate the destabilisation of the quorum-sensing master regulators LuxR/HapR mRNAs. The record is from RNAcentral. Lineage: Bacteria; Pseudomonadati; Pseudomonadota; Gammaproteobacteria; Vibrionales; Vibrionaceae.
AGACCCUUCUAAGCCGGGGUCACCUAGCCAACUGACGUUGUUAGUGAACCCAACCUUGUUCACAAAUUAAAUUUAGCCAGCAGCGCCGCAUUGCUGCUGGCUUAUUUUUU